CAAACAUUGCCCCGAAUAUCGACUGGCAGGCAGGUCUGCCUAUUAGGCAGAUAAAAAAAAACAACACAUCUCCGCGAAACCCGCCUCCUCAGUUACAUCACAAAGGAAACACGCCAUCUAAGGGCAAAUGCCAUCUGUUUCCACUCCCUCUCAUUCAAACUGAAAACUGUGUGCCAAGGUUUUGCAGCAGAAGAGAGUUGGAAUGAGAAAGUGAGAUCAAGGAACAUUUCUGGAUCUCAUCACUUGAAGACUGCCAAGGAGUCUGACGCACAUGUACAGAGAAUUAUACAUAAUAUCUUAAGGAUAAUGGAACUGGCACAUUUGUUGCUAUCAGAAAAGAGGGGAAGAUCACUUUCAGUGGUGAUGUGAAAGGUCCAAUAAACCAAAAGAUGUGUCAUGGUAGAUCGGGACAUGAUAGAAAUCAAUGCAGUGCACACAGUGUUUCCUCGUGCAAAUGUGUUGCUGCCCUGCUGCUACCUUCCUCCGUGCAUGCUACACUCACCCCUGCCAGCCUCAAGUCCACCCUGGACUUGCUCGCCAGGCUACAGUCCAACAAGUGCGUGCCGGAGUACCUGCAUACCACUUCAGACACCAUUGUAGUGAUCUAGGUUAAUGCAGGCAGAUGCAUUACACAGGGCGAGGCAAUCCAUACACAGACGGAAGGCGGGCGUGAACCCAGGACCUCUAACACUCCAGCAUAGUGCCAAUACUGCUUAUAUCUUUGUAUGUGAUUAUGUCACCUACCAGCCCUACUGCUGCUGCCUUCCCCCGUGCACGCUACAUGUAUAUAGCAAGUGCUAAAAGUACAGUAAUCCAAAUUUGGGUAACCUUGAAAUUCAAAAGGUAAUUUAACGUUAUGAUGAAGAGAAACACACUAAAUGUUAAGCACAACAACACAGUGACUAUAAGAAAAGGCAAGAUACUUGGAGUUGGAAAGGAGUCAUUUAUUAAUUCUGGACUGUAGUUCCAAUGUAAAACAUCUCCUCUUGACUUUCUGUGGAUGGAUGGAGUAAUGGCAACAUUUACACUGAACAUUAAAAGUACAACCAGGAAUCCUUAUUUUUAAUUUUUUUUACAGAUUACUGAAUAAACAUAGUAACUCGACUUAGAUUCAUCUGAUGUGAGUACUUGAUGGCUAGUUGUUAUAGGCAAUGUUAAACAAUUGUACUGUUGGAAUGUAUUUUCUAUUAUUUUGGCAAGGUUACAAUAUUUACACUAAGAUUAUUUUAUAAAUAUGUUACAAUUAAACAGUUGUAGAAUAUUUAGGUUGCUAUAUGAUAGGUGUUAUUUUCUUCUGAAUGCACUACAGCAAAAAAUAUUAUUUAGUGGUGUGCGCAAUAUUAUGCUACUGUUGCUUUAAUUGGAAGACAUACGUGCUGUGACGUUGCUGCUUAUUCGGAUUCCUCCGGUCGGAGGAAACCUAUGUUAUUGGUGGUUUUAUUAUUAUUAUUAUUAUUAUUAUUAUUCUCCUUGCGCCCCAAUAUCUCAAAAAGUCACCAGUAAAAAAAAAAAAUUCUAAUUUGGCACAUUGAUACUACAGGCCACCGAGAACCCCCACACCAAGAAUGGCCCACAUUCGCCCUUAGGGGGCGCUACAGGCCACGCCCAAUUUUCAAAGUGAUGGCAUUUCCACCCCAUUUGUCCAAUUCUUCUGAAACUUGGUGUUCAUUCCUCAUGGGGAACAAAAAAGCCUCAAGGACCCAUAAGGUCCGCGGGGGCCAAGAUGGCGUUCAUCCGUGCGGACACGUUUUGAGUGGUGUCGUCAGGCAAUUAAGAGAUUAACAUGAAACUAUGUUUGAAAACCCUGAUAAACUUUGAUUAUUAGUUAAGUUUUUCUUCUUCUAUUGUGUGGCUUGUCAGGCCUAUAUGGGUCAAAAAAGAAACAAGAGAUAAGGUUCAGGUUAAAGAUACAGACAUGGCGACUGACGAGAGCAAAAGUGUCAACGAAGUUUCCAUGGACGUAGAAGUACAGGUGCUGGUCAUAUAAUUAGAAUAUCAUCAAAA
This is a long non-coding RNA of Myxocyprinus asiaticus (Chinese sucker), 2004 nucleotides long. RefSeq lists it as uncharacterized. The transcript is spliced from 3 exons. Lineage: Eukaryota; Metazoa; Chordata; Actinopteri; Cypriniformes; Catostomidae. The record is from RefSeq and is a predicted model, not a curated record.